Molecule: long non-coding RNA, 345 nt
Filed under: Actinidia chinensis (golden kiwifruit)
Lineage: Eukaryota; Viridiplantae; Streptophyta; Magnoliopsida; Ericales; Actinidiaceae
Description: long non-coding RNA (ACHI_LNC005090)
Source: RNAcentral
UUUGGGGCCUGGGCUCUUAAUCGAGAAGGCCAGAUCCAUCUUGCAAACAAAAGCUAUAGAUGACCAAGAACGAGAGGGGCUGCAGCUUAGAUAGCGAGAGGCCCGCCGGACGUGAGAGAGAGAGAGAAGCGGCAAUGGAAGUGGCAGUGCCAGUGCCAGAGCCAGAGCCAGAGCCAGUGGCAGAAUAAGGUUAAUCCAGUUAUUUUCUGGCUAGGGAUUCAGUCCAUCUAUGGUAGACUUCUUUCUCUCUAGUUAUUGUUUUAUACCCCAAGUUAUGCAGAAACGACAUAUAUAUACAUAUUUUGGGUAUCCUGAUUGGUAUGCAAGUUUGAGACUUGUGAGUCA